This 1685-nucleotide ribosomal RNA is filed under the name Acinetobacter baumannii. RNAcentral's name for it is "bacterial LSU rRNA". It matches the Rfam family "Bacterial large subunit ribosomal RNA", at positions 1261 to 2925 of the family's 2925-position model. Lineage: Bacteria; Pseudomonadati; Pseudomonadota; Gammaproteobacteria; Moraxellales; Moraxellaceae. The record is from RNAcentral.
UUGAGAAGUAUGCUGGAGGUAUCAGAAGUGCGAAUGCUGACGUGAGUAACGACAAAACGGGUGAAAAACCCGUUCGCCGAAAGACCAAGGGUUCCAGUCCAACGUUAAUCGGGGCUGGGUGAGUCGACCCCUAAGGCGAGGCCGAAAGGCGUAGUCGAUGGGAAAAUGGUUAAUAUUCCAUUACUUCUGUGUAAUGCGAUGAGAGGACGGAGAAGGCUAAAUCAGCCUGGCGUUGGUUGUCCAGGUGAAAGGAUGUAGGCAUGUAUCUUAGGCAAAUCCGGGGUACUCUAUGCUGAGAUCUGAUAGCAAGCUGUACUUGUACAGCGAAGUGGUUGAUGCCAUGCUUCCAGGAAAAGUCUCUAAGCUUCAGUUACACAGGAAUCGUACCCGAAACCGACACAGGUGGUCAGGUCGAGUAGACCAAGGCGCUUGAGAGAACUCUGCUGAAGGAACUAGGCAAAAUGGUACCGUAACUUCGGGAGAAGGUACGCUGUUGUUGGUGAUGGAACUCGCUUCCUGAGCUGACGACAGCCGCAGAAACCAGGCCGCUGCAACUGUUUAUUAAAAACAUAGCACUCUGCAAACACGAAAGUGGACGUAUAGGGUGUGAUGCCUGCCCGGUGCUGGAAGGUUAAUUGAUGGGGUUAGCGUAAGCGAAGCUCUUGAUCGAAGCCCCAGUAAACGGCGGCCGUAACUAUAACGGUCCUAAGGUAGCGAAAUUCCUUGUCGGGUAAGUUCCGACCUGCACGAAUGGCAUAAUGAUGGCGGCGCUGUCUCCAGCAGAGGCUCAGUGAAAUCGAAAUCGCUGUGAAGAUGCAGUGUACCCGCGGCUAGACGGAAAGACCCCGUGAACCUUUACUGCAGCUUGACACUGAACUUUGACCUUACUUGUGUAGGAUAGGUGGGAGGCUUUGAAGCUGGAACGCUAGUUCCAGUGGAGCCGUCCUUGAAAUACCACCCUGGUAAUGUUGAGGUUCUAACUCUGUCCCGUGAUCCGGGACGAGGACCGUGUCUGGUGGGUAGUUUGACUGGGGCGGUCUCCUCCUAAAGAGUAACGGAGGAGUACGAAGGUGCGCUCAGCGUGGUCGGAAAUCACGCGUAGAGUAUAAAGGCAAAAGCGCGCUUAACUGCGAGACCCACAAGUCGAGCAGGUACGAAAGUAGGUCUUAGUGAUCCGGUGGUUCUGUAUGGAAGGGCCAUCGCUCAACGGAUAAAAGGUACUCUGGGGAUAACAGGCUGAUACCGCCCAAGAGUUCAUAUCGACGGCGGUGUUUGGCACCUCGAUGUCGGCUCAUCUCAUCCUGGGGCUGAAGCAGGUCCCAAGGGUAUGGCUGUUCGCCAUUUAAAGAGGUACGCGAGCUGGGUUUAGAACGUCGUGAGACAGUUCGGUCCCUAUCUACCGUGGGCGCUGGAAAUUUGAGAGGAUCUGCUCCUAGUACGAGAGGACCAGAGUGGACGAACCUCUGGUGUACCGGUUGUGACGCCAGUCGCAUCGCCGGGUAGCUAUGUUCGGAAGGGAUAACCGCUGAAAGCAUCUAAGCGGGAAGCCUACCUCAAGAUAAGAUUUCCCUAGGACUUUAUGUCCUCUAAAGAGCCGUUCGAGACUAGGACGUUGAUAGGUUGGAUGUGGAAGCAUAGUGAUAUGUGAAGCUGACCAAUACUAAUUGCUCGUGAGGCUUGACUAU